AAUAAAUAGACUGGGAACUAGGAGAAACAGGAACCGGUAGGGGCAGUAGCUGUGGUAAUCGCCCCUGCUUUGAAACAGAAGUAGGAGAAAAUACUAGUCUGCUAAAAGUCACCAAUGGCUGCCAUCAAACAAGUCUGAUUCAAAGACCACUAAAGGCAUAGUUCACAUGCUGGGGCUUCCAGACAGGCUUUUCCAACUGAACGCCUUCAGGGCUGUGACACUGUCAAGGGUUUGCUGGGAUCAGACGCCAGCAGUUAGAUUUCCUGUGGAUUUAUCAGCCCAAUCCUUACUGUGCAGCCUUGAUACUGGAUCUAGAGUGAGACCAUGAGGCACGUCUGUGAAUGUAUACACGGAGUAGGUUAUGAAGACUGGGAGAGACUCAUAGAAACAUUACCAUAUUACAUAUUUAGGAGCCCUACAAUCAACUGAGACUUAAAGAAUGACAGAAUGGAAGCUGUCCUGGGUAACAAAGUCUGAGAAACUCCCUGUUGCUGUCAUCUUUCUUGCUUAUAACCAGGAGGGGUCUCUGACUUAAGUGACUUUGAGUACUUUUGGGACUGAAAAAGGGGGUAUGGCUUGCUGCUGCUUUUUGUAACAAAAGGGGAAGGCAAAGAGCAGAGGAGAAAGAUGAGGAAAUGAAAUGAAAGAAGGCAAGGCCAGUAACAAAUACAGCAGUAGUAGGAGGA
Harpia harpyja (harpy eagle) is the source of this 686-nucleotide long non-coding RNA. RefSeq lists it as uncharacterized. The record is from RefSeq and is a predicted model, not a curated record. NCBI's taxonomy places the organism in Eukaryota, Metazoa, Chordata, Aves, Accipitriformes, Accipitridae. The transcript has 3 exons.